RNAcentral lists this ribosomal RNA (263 nucleotides) under uncultured Enterobacteriaceae bacterium. RNAcentral describes it as "partial 16S ribosomal RNA". It matches the Rfam family "Bacterial small subunit ribosomal RNA", at positions 76 to 339 of the family's 1533-position model. Lineage: Bacteria; Pseudomonadati; Pseudomonadota; Gammaproteobacteria; Enterobacterales; Enterobacteriaceae. The record is from RNAcentral.
CAGCUUGCUGCUUUGCUGACGAGUGGCGGACGGGUGAGUAAUGUCUGGGAAACUGCCUGAUGGAGGGGGAUAACCACUGGAAACGGUGGCUAAUACCGCAUAACGUCGCAAGACCAAAGAGGGGGACCUUCGGGCCUCUCACUAUCGGAUGAACCCAGAUGGGAUUAGCUAGUAGGCGGGGUAAUGGCCCACCUAGGCGACGAUCCCUAGCUGGUCCGAGAGGAUGAUCAGCCACACUGGGACUGAGACACGGCCCAGACUCC